This 1255-nucleotide long non-coding RNA is filed under the name Anas platyrhynchos platyrhynchos (common mallard). RNAcentral's name for it is "lncRNA (ENSAPLG00000029082.1)". The record is from RNAcentral. Lineage: Eukaryota; Metazoa; Chordata; Aves; Anseriformes; Anatidae.
GAAGGUAUUAGUAUGAAAAAACAAAUAUUUUUUUAGGAAGAAAAGAAUAAGUUAGCUUUGAUGUAUAUCUGAUCAAGUAAAAGAGGAUCACUUGAAACUUGUUGGAAGCAGUGAGUAUUUUGCUGAGUAUGUCCGGAUGGGCCUGUGCAGUUCUGAGUGGAUUCAAUUAUGGCAGAGCAGCUUUUGUGUACUGCCAAUCUCAAAAUGAAAUUCUGGGCAGCAGGUUAGAUACCUGUUAGAUAUUUGUAUGGACAGAACUUGGCAAAAAUAACAACAGUUCUGCUGCGUUCUGCUGCAUCUUUGUGAGUCCACAGCCUUUCAGCAGGGGGCAGGGCUGUUCAGUGACAGUGUCAGGGUUAGGGUCUUGUUUUCUGUUGUACGUUUCUUGGUUUCUUGUAAGUUUCCUGCUUAAGCAGCCUACCUGUACCUAAUGGUUCGAAAGAUUCGGCUGCAGUCAGACUUUGCAGUGAGGCAGGCAGCACGCUCUGAGCAAAGAGUCUGGCUGGUUUCAGAGGGGUUCUAAAGCAGGCAGCACAAUUUGUUUGCAGAGAGCUUAAGGUUCCUUUGGAUGGUGAAUUUGUGCUUUUAUAGAGCCAUUCUGACACGUCUUCAAGGUCUGGGUUUUUUUAUUUUGAUUUUUGAGGGCUCAGUGAUGUUUAUGGAUAAGCUGUUUCAUUAAGGGCUCCGAGUAUUCAGCCUGUUUCCCUGAGUGAACUGUUGCAAAGUACACGUCGGGGCAGCACAGCUCUGUGCAGGGCUCAGGUUAAACCUUGUGCAGUGUCAUAAUACAGCAACGUUUUUGCUCGUGAGGAUGUUAGUGAUUGAACUAUUCAAUAGUGUUUGAAAGCAGUCUUCAGAGCGUGCUGCUGCGUUGGGCACACAGCUGUGCAAAUACGUUGUUCAAACUUGAGAGCUGCAGCGUUAGGGGCUGUGCGAUAACAGCGCUGCGGUGGAUGGCUCCAUCUGUCCUUUUUUUCUUGUGCAGGUUGCUGAAAGAACAGGAGGAGAAGGAAAACAAGAUUGCUUCUCUGAUUGCAGAGCAGUCUGAUGAAAAGCAGCUGUGGGAGAUGGAGCUAGAUAAGCUGAAGAACCAGCACAAUGAAAUCAACAGGAACAUUCUUGAGGAGACAGAGCGGGCCUGGAAAGCAGAGGAGCAGUUAAGGAUGAGGCUCUUCACGGGGCUGGAGAAGGGGUAAGCAAAUGUCAGUGCAGUAAACGUUAGUUGGGGCUGUUGCUAGAUCCUGUCCCUGGAGAG